Molecule: transfer RNA, 86 nt
Filed under: Formosa sp. Hel3_A1_48
Lineage: Bacteria; Pseudomonadati; Bacteroidota; Flavobacteriia; Flavobacteriales; Flavobacteriaceae
Description: tRNA-Leu(gag)
Rfam family: tRNA
About the family: Transfer RNA (tRNA) molecules are approximately 80 nucleotides in length.
Source: RNAcentral
GCGCACGUGGCGGAAUUGGUAGACGCGCUAGCUUGAGGGGCAAGUGGGAAUUUUUCCCGUGGAAGUUCGAGUCUUCUCGUGCGCAC